Sander lucioperca (pikeperch) is the source of this 253-nucleotide long non-coding RNA. RefSeq lists it as uncharacterized. The record is from RefSeq and is a predicted model, not a curated record. The transcript has 3 exons. Lineage: Eukaryota; Metazoa; Chordata; Actinopteri; Perciformes; Percidae.
UCUUCCAGCUGAUCAGCGUUAUUAUGGCUCCCAUGUAACUUCUAGGCAAGUCCCGCCCUACGAAGAAGCUCGAUUGGUUGGGGUUAGGCAUUGACCUUGAGUGGUUAAGGUUAGGAUAGCCGAUUGGUCAGGGGAUAGGACAUGAACAAAUCGGGUUACGUUACCUUGCGUAAGCAUGGAUGCCUGGCCAAUAGUAGUGUGUGAAUGCUAUUGAAGGGCGGUUCUUUCCUAGAAGUUGUGUAGGUUUCAUAAU